Hibiscus syriacus is the source of this 149-nucleotide long non-coding RNA. RefSeq lists it as uncharacterized. The transcript has 3 exons. The record is from RefSeq and is a predicted model, not a curated record. NCBI's taxonomy places the organism in Eukaryota, Viridiplantae, Streptophyta, Magnoliopsida, Malvales, Malvaceae.
UUUCGGGAACCGCCAUCACACCGUUCACUUUCUUACCAGCAUUAGGCUCUAUUUCAGGAAUCUGUACAGAUAUCAAGUGGACCAUUAGAAACUUAUAACAAUUCUUUUGUGUUCUGAUGUAUCCUAGGUAAAUUAUAAAGCUCAAAAUC